Molecule: microRNA precursor, 139 nt
Organism: Equus caballus (horse)
Lineage: Eukaryota; Metazoa; Chordata; Mammalia; Perissodactyla; Equidae
Source: Ensembl
UAACCUUAGCAGCAGCCUCCAUAAAAUAGCCCUAGCACCCAGAGUCCAAGCAGCUGCAGACAGAAUCGUAAAGGCCUCCCUGCAGAUGACUGGACUCCAGGCGCUCCUGGCUGCAACAGGUUGCCGUGGCUGUGGGGAG